AAGGCAGCAGGCGCGCAAAUUACCCACUCCCGGCACGGGGAGGUAGUGACGAAAAAUAACGAUACGGGACUCAUCCGAGGCCCCGUAAUCGGAAUGAGUACACUCUAAAACCUUUAACAAGGAUCAAUUGGAGGGCAAGUCUGGUGCCAGCCGCCGCGGUAAUUCCAGCUCCAAUAGCGUAUAUUAAAGUUGUUGCGGUUAAAAAGCUCGUAGUCGAAUCUGUGUCCCGCGCCGCUGGUUCAUCGCUCGCGGUGCCAACUGGCGUGUUCGCGGGACGUCCUGCCGGUGGGCUCACUGAAUUGAUUGCUUCGGCUUUUGUUCGUGGCCCAACUCGUAUCCGUCUCGUGCGGGUGCGAAUCCCAUCGCGGUGCUCUUUACUGAGUGUCGAGGUGGGCCGGCACGUUUACUUUGAACAAAUUAGAGUGCUUAAAGCAGGCCAAUUUUGCCUGAAUAUUGUGUGCAUGGAAUAAUGGAAUAGGACCUCGGUUCUAUUUUGUUGGUUUUCGGAACCCCGAGGUAAUGAUUAAUAGGAACGGAUGGGGGCAUUCGUAUUGCGACGUUAGAGGUGAAAUUCUUGGAUCGUCGCAAGACGGACAGAAGCGAAAGCAUUUGCCAAAAACGUUUUCAUUGAUCAAGAACGAAAGUUAGAGGUUCGAAGGCGAUCAGAUACCGCCCUAGUUCUAACCAUAAACGAUGCCAGCUAGCGAUCCGCCGACGUUCCUCCGAUGACUCGGCGGGCAGCUUCCGGGAAACCAAAGCUUUUGGGUUCCGGGGGAAGUAUGGUUGCAAAGCUGAAACUUAAAGGAAUUGACGGAAGGGCACCACCAGGAGUGGAGCCUGCGGCUUAAUUUGACUCAACACGGGGAACCUCACCAGGCCCAGACACCGGAAGGAUUGACAGAUUGAGAGCUCUUUCUUAAUUCGGUGGGUGGUGGUGCA
Molecule: ribosomal RNA, 939 nt
Filed under: Gyrophaena congrua
Lineage: Eukaryota; Metazoa; Arthropoda; Insecta; Coleoptera; Staphylinidae
Description: SSU rRNA
Rfam family: Eukaryotic small subunit ribosomal RNA
Source: RNAcentral